Molecule: long non-coding RNA, 2603 nt
Organism: Ctenopharyngodon idella (grass carp)
Lineage: Eukaryota; Metazoa; Chordata; Actinopteri; Cypriniformes; Xenocyprididae
Exons: 4
Source: RefSeq, a predicted model, not a curated record
UGAGCUCCAGCGAUAUAAACUUUACUUUCACUUUCUGAACGACGAUUUCAAAAAUGAAUAUCUACGUGCUUUUGUUGAGACUCGAGUUCGACAGGAAGGGGAAAUGAGUCAGUCUCUUCCUGGAUCUAUUCACUCAGAGCACAGGAUGAGCAGCGCCCCCUGCUGGCCUCACUAACACCUCUUCCAGCAGCAGCCUAGUCUUCCAGGAGUCUCCUAUCCAGUCCUGACCAGACUCAACCCUGCUUAACUUCAGUCUUGGCCUACAGGGUCAUUCGGCUCCUGCUAUUUUGCAUUUCCUUAGAUUUAAUCUAAGGCUGUGGCUGGAAGUCAGUUGUAGUUAUUGUGUUUCUGCUCAUAUCUUCUCUUUUUUUCUGUCUAAACAUGUUACUUCAGUUGAUGGUUUUCUACUGUUAUUUCCAUUAAUGUUAAGGAAAAAAUGCAUGGCCAGCAUAUUUUUACCAUUAUGUCUGUAAGAUAUAAAUGCUGAAUGUUUGUCAAUACAGGGAGACUCUGGAGGUCCAGUGCUCAGUAGGAACGGUUCCCCGUGGAUUCAGUCCGGCAUUUCGUUUUACUGAAUACCAUUUUUCUUGAUACCAGGAUCCAAUUGAAAUCAGGGACUUUAUUUACUUCUCUAUAUUCUAAACCAACGGAUAAAAAUAGUAUUCUUCAUGCUGCGAGUGCUCAUCCACCUUUUUUAAAAAAAGGACUUCCUUAUACUCAAUUUCUUCGAUUAAAACGUAUCUGUAAUGUUGAAUCAGAUUUUGAACAACAAGUGGUGAUAAUGUACAAGCGUUUUAUCCUUAGAGGUUACCCGGAAAUAUGGUUAGAUGUUGCUUUGAAGAGAGUACGAGAAGAGUCUAACACAUCGAUUAAACAAAAGAAGCCUCAUUCCGUAGUCUGUACUACCACUUUUUCUGCGCAUAGUGAAGCGAUUAAGAAUAUUCUAUACAUUGGUACAUACUUACGAGCGAUCCAGUGGGGGAAUGUCUUUUUGCGGAUCCGCCACUUUUUUCACAUUAUAGAGCCAGAAAUAUUAGAGAUUUUUUGGUCAAAUCUAAUACUUUCAUUAAGGCUAAUUCUCAGAUACGUAUAGAUAAGGACAUUGGGUUUUUUCCUUGCCUUAGGUGUGCGGCAUGUAGGAACAUUCGUAGAUGAUGUUUUUCUUUUCGGAGUAGUGUAACGAAUCAUACGUAUAAGAUUAAACAAUUUGUGACAUGUGCUUCUACUAAUGUAAUAUAUCUGUUGACUAGUCCAUGCGAGAAACAAUAUAUAGGCAAGAUGAACAGAAAAGUUAGGACACGUAUCAUUGAACAUAUGAGUGCGAUCAGAAGAAGUGACCAGAAAUCUCCAGUUGCCCGUCAUUUUAAUGAUAUGUUGCAUUAAGUUUCGGAUCUAGAUUUUGUGGUAAUUGAGCACAUUACAUCGUCGCGUAGAGGUGGUAAUAUAGAGCGGAAACUUUUACAGAGAGAGUGCAAAUGGAUUUUUGAUCUAAAGUGUUUACAUCCUUUAGGUAUGAACGAAGAACUGAUUCUCAAUUGUUUUUUGUAAAUUUUCAUUGUUUUGGUAAAUUUACACACACUGGAUCUUUUGCUUCAAAAUCAUGUUUGUAAUUAUGUAUUUCAGUAUGAAUACAUAAUCAUAAAAUUUAUUAUAAUCAUGUGGGUGUAUAUUUCUCUAUUUGUACGUUUUUCAUGAUUAUGUAUUCCAAUUGUGAUGUUCAUAUGAUAGUAUUACAAUGUAUAUUGAUGAUAUUUCGAUAAUAUGAAAAGUAAUAUGUAUUUCUUUGAGCUAAGUUUUUUUUUUUUUUUAAGUGUUGUAUAAUUAUGGGUAUAUCUAUUUACCUUUGUGGUGUGAAUAUUGGAGGUCCUGUCUUCUAUAAUGAUUACAGUAAUAAGCCUAUUAAAUGGAUACAGGUGUAUGCUUGGAAUCAUGGAAUCAGAUAUUAUUCUCAUCAGAUCACUGUAUCAUCACUCUGACUACAACACUCCUGAAUGAAGAUGACAACAGAGAGUGGAGAUGUCAGCUUACUCUCAGAAAUCAACUCCAGACCUCAGUCAGAUACACUGUCAAGUAUUCAGUCAGCAGCUCAAACUCUGAGAAGAAAUCAAGCCAAACUACAGCAGCAGCUCCUACACAAGAUCCAGCUGACACAGCAUCAGAAACUGAAGUCAGUGUGACUGCUGGAUCAUUAUUCAGAGGUACGACACGUUCAUUUCUACUGACAGCUUUACACCAUUAAACUAUCAGUCAGUCUGUAAAUGCUUCGUCAAUAACUGUUCAUAGUUUAAUCCCCUUGACUUCAGUCAUGUCCAGUUUCUCUUCUUAACAAAGUUCAGGAGGAGCAUAUUCAAAUGAUCUACCCAAUCAGCAUAAGAGAAGGCCUAUAAAUACGUAGCCGACUCACCUAUGUUUCUCGACAGUUUUUUCUGCAUCCCUCCACCACCCCGCCUCCUCACACUUGCCUGGUUACUAUCUUAACCAAAGAUACGGAGGAGUACACUGGGUUCGGACGACAUUCCCCGGACAGCACAUCAAAUACGCACACUUUUUAUUCUAUCUAAUCAUUUGUAAGCGUGGACUCGUGAAAUGAAUAAAGUUUGUUG